UUUUUUUUUUUUUUUUUUUUAGUUAAAAUUGGGAAAUUAAGAAGUAAUGAUGAUGUGAUAAUGGAAAAUAUGAAUUUUCCAUUAAUUGUCACCAAAAUCCGUGUUUAAUCCUCACAACAUAUUUUGUCAGGUAUUUUCAUUAUAAUCAUUUAAGAUGAGAAAACCGAGGUGUAACAAAGUUAGUUAGCCCAUACAAAAUAAUUUCACAUACCUAGGGAAUAGUUUAGUUGGGAUUCCAAAGUCUAUAAUUAUAAUAAUCAUAGGCUUGUAGAAAUUAUAUCAAUAUCAAGAAACAGUUUAUCAUCCUGACAAUUGUUUUAAUAAUAUUUAUGAGAAGAGAAAUUUAAAUUUACUUAAUCUUACUAUAUAGUGGCAGCUAGAAUUUUUUUUCUUUUAAUGAUGUACUCAGUUUCUCAUCUUACCCCCUCUCAAAUUCUUCUCUAUUAGACUAUCUACUAGAGAAAAACAUUCUGUGGUACUCAACAUUAUUCUGGUUAAAAAGCAGUUGUUGAUAAAAUAAAGCCACUUCAGAUUGUGAUUUCAUUGAGUUUAACCCUUUCAAUAACCCAUACAUAUGUAGUAAAUGUAUAUAAAAUGGAAUUGGAAGAGAAUGCAGAAUAAUGCUAAGUGAACCUCUGAUAAAUAUAUUUAUAGUUAGCAUUUACCAAAGAUUACUUAUGCUCAAAACAUAAAUUUUUAAAUCAUCUAACAUGUAUUAAUUUGAAAAUAAACUUAAAAUCAUGAAAAAGAAACCAAAUUUUCUUUUGAGAGAUAUUUUAACAUGUAUGUUUUUGUUCGUGUGUAAAAAAAAUCUAGGUAGAUUUUUCAAACAUUCCACAAAAUUUGUUUUUUUUUUGAUUUCUUCAAAAGCAUGCAUUUAUUGUAUCCUUAAUGAUAUCAACAAUAAUACUAUGACAAAAUGUGUGUUUUCAAAUGAAUUUAUCUUAAUGAUUAAAAACAAGAAAACUAACAAACAGUAAACAUUUUACAGUAAAAAUUUCACAUCAUUUUCUUAAGUACAAUUGUCUGAGUUCUAUGAUGAAUACAAUGGCAUUACACCACUUUUCAAUCAUUUUGCUGUUUGUUAAAAUUACAGCUAAGUGUACGUAUUGUGAAAAGAUUAUACCAAAGCCUACUUAUGAAAAUGUACUUGGUAAAGUCUUGUAAAUGUCACAAUAGCAUUUUAAUGAUAAUAGCCAAGAUAUUGGUCAUGUGGAGAUUUCUUAAAUUUCUAAUGCCCUAUCAAAGAAUCCAAGUUCCUUUUAAUAAUUUCAAGUUUUAGUAGUUCAUUUACCAGACUCCCAAAGCCUUAAUUUCUCUAGUUCAUUUCAAUGUAAAUUACUUUCAUUCAUAUUAUCCAAACUUAAAUAAGAUUCUAUUUCCUUAAGAUCUUUGAGUAAUUACUUGCUUCCUGAAGCCAGGAAUCAGAACUCCAAGGAGAAUGGUUUAUUUUUUAGUUUUUUGCUUGAUACAAAAAAAAAUCUUCAGUGAGAUUUCAUCUGUUAACAAAGAAGGUAGUUAAAAUGCAGUUAUGUAUAUGGUGCUUUAGUUAAAUUAGGAAUUUUUUAAAGAACGUGUGGGUUUAAUCCAGUCAAACAAUUAAUUUUAUUUGAUUAUAAAUUUUAUCUAUAUAUUUUCACUCUUGCUGAACCUUCAAAAUUUCCAUUUAUGGUAUUGCUGAUUUUGCAUAUGCAAUCUUUGAAAACUGUAUUUAUUAGUAUGUCUAUAAUGCCUAAGAUUCAUCAACAAUGUGUCAAACAUUGGUCUGAGCUUUUCUUUCACAAUUAAAGUUUAAUUAUUUUAAUUGAAAAUUGCUUAACAAACAUAAUAAUUGAGUGAUCUGCAUAAAGCCUGACCUUGAUACACAUAAUCUCCUCAUUGAGGUUCCAAUCAAUUUAGCCUGUUAAAUGUUGAUAUAUUAAAUCUUUUGUGCUGGUUAUAGAGGGGCAUUCUCUAGGCAUUUAUGGCUUUCCUUGUUCAAGAUAGUUACAGAUAGCCUGGGAUGUCCCAUUUGACAACUGGCCAGCUUUAUUUGCCACUAGAAAACUGAAUUAUGAAAAUAAAAAUAUUCUCCAUUCAAAUUAGCAAUUGUGUGAAAUAGCUAUAAUGAGAAUUUCCAGAAUGCGCAUAGUAUUUUUUUCAUUUGCAUAUGUGGUGUGCAAGUGUGUUCUUUUAGGGAUUUAGAGAAAACUGGUAUUUGUGGAAUUUGGGACUAGAUGAAAACUGAGGCUAAACUAAAUCAGUUAUGACUUCAAUUCAUAUUGCUAUUCAGAGAAUGGAAUGGGAUGGUGCAGAAGUAAUUAAAUUGGUCAAGUUAGAUCUAAAAAUCAACCUUUUAAAAUGAACCUAAUUCAAAGUAAUUGCCCCUUGUUUUAAUCUUGGUGUGUAAAGUCAAAAGAUAUUUAUUUCUGUAAGAAAUUGCAAUUACAUAUUUUUAGAGGGGGAAAAAAUGUUUUAAGCACAACUUGGACUCAAGUCUAAAGGCAAUGUCUUCUAAGCUACUAAUUUUACAGAUGAGAAAGCAGGUCCAGGGUGUUGAGAAAGACUUUGCCAAGAGCCAGAGACAUUCUGAAUUGACAGCUCAAAAAUAAACCAAGCUUGUGAAUCUUUAGAUUUAUAUAAUUGAAAAGAAUCCUUACAUACAGUUAAACUUUUAUAUAAUGAAGCAAUGUUAGAAAUUCUUCAACAAGUUAGAAUACAGAAUCUCAUCUUCAAAUAGCUCUACUGAUACUAAGUUAUGAAUUGAGCUGAAAUCAAAUUUGUCUUCUUAGAGUUAAGUGAAAGAAUCUUAGAAGUAUAGCUAUUAAAUUAUGGCUCAGUUGAAGUAUGAUUAUUAAUCAUUUUCUAGGGAAAGAAUCUUUACAUUUUAAGUAUAUGUGUUUAUAUCUGAAUAUAAGGGAGGAUACCAGUUGCUCCAAAUAUUCAUUAACAUAAAACACUAACAUUUUAAAUUGCCUUGCAUGUUAAUUUGUAAUACUAUUUGCAAGAAUAUGACAUCUUGAGAAUAUGUAUAAUAUUCUUCGCUGAAAUGUAUAUUUACUAUUAUAGGUACCUAUAAUUAUGUUACUGAUUAGAACAGUAUGAAAAAUGAGUUUAAAUAAUUCAUAAAUAUAUUAAUUACUUUAAAUAUUAUUACAUGAGGGUGAGUGUUAUUUUUAUUAGAACAAAAGGGGAAAAACACAUCUCUACUGUGUUAUAACAUGCAAGAUAAGUACAAUUUUUGGUGAAACCUGUGAUACAAUACCUGAGUAAAGAAAAUGAUUAUAAAAAUUAGACUAAAAGAAAACCUGAUCUCAUAUAUUCUCUGUCCCAAAUUGUAUUCAUACUUAGCUAUAAGGUUCUGAUUUUUUAUCUUACAUCCCUAUGACUGACACAUACUUUAAUGCUAACUUUAUUUCAAAACGUUUUCUCUGAGUUACCUUUAUAAAAAUAAUUAUAUGUCUAAAACCUGUUUCAUUUUUUUUUUUUUACCAUAUUUUGAAACCAACUUCUGUACCUCUACCCUGUUGGGCCAUCUACACUCUACAAGUGCUUUUAUCAGUAGGAGAUAAACAUUUUCAAUUUUAAAUCUUAGUUCCAUGAAUUUUAUAAAGUGCCCCUGUAUGUUUUUAUAUUUAUAUGACCCUCAGCAAGUGGGCUGGGAUCAUUAUUAACCAUCACCAAGUGCAUGACUCUCAGUUGCUUAUUCACCCUGAGAAAUACUAAGAGGAGCUUAGUAUUGUUUAUGAUAAAAUAAUUCAUCUACAUAAAAGAGGUUUCAGUGUGCUUUUUUAAAAGUACAAAGUUAAUAGAUUUGUAGCAACAACAAAAUCGAGAAAAAUUAUAUUGUCAGCACUCCAGACGCUUCCUUUGAUUUUGCCUAUGCAAAUGCUUUAGCCUCUCUAAGGGUUAAGGAUUAACUUAAAUAAUAGUCAUUUUGUUUUUAUUUAUAUUUUUGUAUGUAUAAUUGGAUCCUUAAAAUUGAAGUUUUGCUCAUUAUAGCAAUGGAAUUUUAUGAUACCUAUCCAAAUCCUUCAUUUUUGUUUCUUUUGCUCAGUAUUAUGUUUAUGAAUUUCAACUUUCAUUGUAUAUAUUUGUGAUUCUUUGUUCUUUCUUGCUAUAUAUUAUUGCAUUUUGUGACUAUAUCAGAAAAUUUUGCUCAAAUAUUAUUAAUAAAUGUUUUUAGUAUUUCCAGAUUUAUUAUUGGAAAAAUAGUCUGAACAUUUUUUUGUUCAUGUUUCCUAGUGCAAAUAAACAAGAAAUACAUUUGAGUGUUUUCCUGAUGGUGAUUAUGCUGUGUGGGUAUAUGAAUAUUUAGCUUCAACAGAAAAUGCCAAAUUGUUUUCAAAAUAGUCUUUUCCAUUAUGGUUUAUUACAGGAUAUUGAAUAUAUUUCCCUGUGCUAGAGUAGAAUAUUGUUGUUUAUUUUAUAUAGAAUAUUUUCUAUCUGCUAAUAUAUCCCUUCCCCACUGUUUUUUCCCUUUGGUAUCCAUAAGAUUGUUUUCUAUGUCUGUGAGUCUGUUUCCAUUUAUUAAAUACAUCCAUUUGUAUCGUAUUUUAGGUUCCACAUGUAAGUGAUUUCAUAUAUUUACCUUUGUCUGACUUCACUUAGUAUGAUAAUCUCUAGGUUCAUCCAUAUUGCUGCAAAAGACAUUAUUUCAUUCUUUCUUAUGGAUGAGUAAUAUUCCACUGUAUGUAUGUACCACAUCUUCUUUAUUCAUGUGUUGAUGAACAGUUGUUUUGCUUCCAUGUCCUGUCUAUUGUAAAUAGUGCUUCUAUGAAUAUUGUGUUGAUGUGAGGUUAUAAAUCAUUGUAUUUUUGACUUGAAUUUCUUUAAUAAUUAGCAAUGUUAAGCAUCUUUUCAUGAGUUUUCCCCAUCUGUUUUUUUUUUUUUUUCUUGAGAAAAGUUUAUUGAAGUUCCCAUCGUGGCACAGUGGUUAACGAAUCCGACUAGGAACCAUGAGGUUGCGGGUUUGAUCCGUGCCCUUGCUCAGUUUUCUGC
RNAcentral lists this long non-coding RNA (4980 nucleotides) under Sus scrofa (pig). Its description in RNAcentral is "lncRNA (ENSSSCG00040014453.1)". The record is from RNAcentral. Lineage: Eukaryota; Metazoa; Chordata; Mammalia; Artiodactyla; Suidae.